This 253-nucleotide ribosomal RNA is filed under the name uncultured bacterium. RNAcentral's name for it is "partial 16S ribosomal RNA". It matches the Rfam family "Bacterial small subunit ribosomal RNA", at positions 524 to 776 of the family's 1533-position model. The record is from RNAcentral.
UACGUAGGGUGCAAACGUUGUUCGGAAUCACUGGGCAUAAAGCGCGUGUAGGCGGUCUGGCAAGUCGGGUGUGAAAUCCCUCGGCUCAACCGAGGAACCGCAUUCGAUACUGCUGGGCUAGAGUGCAGGAGGGGAGAGCGGAAUUCCUGGUGUAGCGGUGAAAUGCGUAGAGAUAUGGAGGAACACCAGUGGCGAAGGCGGCUUCCUGGUCUGUAACUGACACUGAGGCGCGAAAGCGUGGGGAGCAAACAGG